This 1264-nucleotide long non-coding RNA is filed under the name Macaca fascicularis (crab-eating macaque). RNAcentral describes it as "lncRNA (ENSMFAG00000055946.1)". The record is from RNAcentral. Lineage: Eukaryota; Metazoa; Chordata; Mammalia; Primates; Cercopithecidae.
GUUUUCCGUAGUGACUGUACUAGUUUACAUUCCCACCAGCAGGGUAAAAGUGUUCCCUGUUCACCACACUCAAGUCAACAUCUACUGUUUUUUGAUUUUUUUAAUUAUGGCCAAAAGAAUGAUUAAGUUUUCAUGAAGUUUACCAAAUUAUCCUCCAAAAAUAAUUGUACUACAAUCAACAGUAAAGAGAGUAACUCUUUCCCCCACACUUGGAUAUAAUCUUUUACAUUUUUGCAAUGUAGUCAGCCUCCACAGGAUAUAUUGUUUUUUAUUUCGUUUUUCUGCAUAUUUACAAAGUUAGAUAUCUUCUCAUGUACCCACUUGUCAUUUGCAUGUCUUUUUCUGUAAGUUACUAGUUUAUAUCUAUUGCCCAUUUUUCUAUUGGGAUUUUUACAUUGUACUCACUAAUUUGUAGAAGAGUUUUGUGCAUUCCAGAUAUAUUUGGGUUGAUGACUCAUAUAUUUCUAUCCAUGUCUUGUAUUUAUCUUCUAAUUUCACUCACAGGGCGUCUGUUCUUAAGCAGGAGUUUAAACGGUAGUAUCAAGCAUGUCUAUCUUUUCCAUAAUGGCACCUGCAUCUUGUUAUUUCUUGUACCUUUCUAAUUGUGUGUUUGUGGUUGGCUCUUUUAUCCACUUGGAGUGGAUUUUCUGUGUAUGGUGUGAGGAGAAGCUCCGUCUUUCCUCUCUUAUCAUAUAAGUAACCUUGUAUUGAUAACAUAUUAAAUUGCCAUAUGUACUUGAGUUCUUUUCUAGAAUCUGUAUGUUGCCUCAUGUCUUCUUUGCCUUUGUCUAUCAUAACACCACAUUAAAAAAGUGUUUAACCUCAGCUGGGUGUGGUGGUGUGUGCCUGUAGUCCCAGCUACUCAGGAAGCUGAGGUGUGGGGAAUCAUUUGAGCCUGGGAGUUUGAAGCUGCAGUGAGCUAUGAUUGCAUCUCUGCACUGUAGCCUGGGCAACAGAGCAAGACCCUGUCUCAAAUAGAAUUAAUAAAAUAAAUUAAAUAGUAAAAUAAAACCAAACAAUUUAAAUCUCUAUAGGAUUUUUCAGUAAUUUGUCAGGCAAUCUCCCCACCUCUACCACCAUCGUCUUGUCAUAUUGGGUUGCAUCUUAUACAUUGUCUCCUCCAGAUAAAUUUUGGAAUCCAGUUCCAUUUGUUAAAAUCCUCUUCGGAUUUGUACUGGAAUUGCAAUGAACUAUAGAUCAAUAUGACAGAAACUGGAAUCUUUACAAUACUGAGUCUCCCCAUACAGAAAAAAAAAAAAAAAAA